GGUCCUCAUCCCGCGAACUCUCAUCCGGAGGAGCUCCCGGCCGGACCCUCAUCCGGCCGAGGCGAGCAACUGCCGCUCCUCCCGCGCCGCCGCGGAGUCUUCGCGCCUGCACGCACGCCAGGAAAAUGAGUCGUCUCUUCCUCUUAGACUCCUCGUCCUCCGACUAUGAUGACGAUGAACUCAUUCUUACAACACUACACCAAGCACAUACUCAAUAUGAAGCUAUGAAUGUUCCACGGUGGGGUGUUUCAGUGCCUGGGCGUCGGUACAUUCAUCGAGACCGAGUUUUCAGACGCUCCGACCUAUGGACCAUCUUUCUUCCGGCGAAGGUUUAGAAUGGCUUGCUCUCUGUUUAUCCGAAUUGUGCAAGCUGUAGAGCAACAUGAUAAGUAUUUUGUGCAAAAAAGAGAUAUAAAUGGACGCCUUGGUCUAUCAUGUUUGCAAAAGAUUACUGCAGCAUACAUGAUGAUAAGUCAUGGAGUUCCUUGCAGAUUUCAUGGACCAUUACAUUCAUAUUGGUGAAAGUACUGUUAUACAGAGUCUAAGAAGGUUUGUCAGAGCUGUGGUUGAAGUGUUUGGAGAUGAGUAUCUGAGGACUCCAAAUGAGCAUGACACAGCUAGAUUACUUUCUAUUGGCAAUAGAUUGUAUGCAUUGGCAAUGGAAAAACUGUCCUACAGCAUGGCAGGGUAUGCAUACGAGCCAUUUGCAGGAGCCCACAAUCAUCCUUGAAGCUGUUGCUUCACAUGAUCUUUGGAUAUGACAUGCUUUCUUUGGUUUGCCGGGGUCUCUCAAUGAUAUCAAUGUUCUACACCGAUCACAUUUGUUUGCCAAGCUAGCACAGGGGAAGCUCCUGCAGUUAAUUAUACCAUCAAUUAUCAUGAUUAUAUGAUGGGAUAUUACCUUGCAGAUGGCAUCUAUCCUCGAUGGGCGACCUUUGUGAAGACAAUAUCACAACCACUAGGCAAUAAGAGGAAAUAUUUCGCCAAGGGACAAGAAGCAACUAGGAAGGAUGUGGAACGAGCAUUCGGAGUUCUAGAAGCUCGAUUUGCUAUUAUUCGCGGUCCAGCCCGUUUCUGGGAUAAAGAGACGCUCAGAGAAAUCAUGACGGCUUGUGUCAUCAUGCAUAACAUGAUUAUUGAAGAUGAGUGAAAUGAAGAUGAAGAUUUCCACUACGACGGUGUCGGCCAAGUUGUGAUACCUACACCACGUGAAGUGCGUAACCGUACUCAAGAACUACAUGAUUUCAUCCAAGUUCAUCAUAAUAUAAGAGACUUGCAAGGCCAUUCUCAACUUCAAGAAGAUCUAAUCGAGCACCUGUGGAACCGACAUGCGGACAUGUAUUGAUCAUGUAUUAUUUUCUCGUUAAUGCACCAUGUAUUUUCUUUAAAUCAUGUAUUUUAUUUGUGUGGACUUUGUACGAACACUAUCUGUAGGCUAUCAUGUUCAUUUUUGUUUGUCUUUA
This is a long non-coding RNA of Setaria italica (foxtail millet), 1463 nucleotides long. RefSeq lists it as uncharacterized. The record is from RefSeq and is a predicted model, not a curated record. The transcript has 2 exons. NCBI's taxonomy places the organism in Eukaryota, Viridiplantae, Streptophyta, Magnoliopsida, Poales, Poaceae.